CUUUCUUGUUUUGGAGAAGAACAGAUGUUUAGUUUAGUUUUUGUUUUGUUCUCUCUGCAGAUCCUCCUCCUCCUCCUCCUCCUGGACUCGUCGACAGUAUAUCUGUUUGCAUUGUUUUGGCAGUAAUCUCCCUUUUAGUCUCUGAGCUCCUGUGAAAUAAAUGUCUGAUGGUGCAGCUGUGCAGGAAAAAUGGAGCUGAAAACAUUUAGAAAUUUGGGCAAAAAAAAAACUGAGAACAAACUUUUUUACACCAGUGAAAUCUGAGAAAAGUAUGUUAAGCAGAAGCGGACUCAGACGGCUGUGAAGUCGAACUAACAUGAAAUUAUUAAAAUGCUAAAAACAUUUGAAGUUUCCCAGAAUAUUUCCAAAGUUUUUCCAAAAGGCUUUUCUUGCAUCAUUAUUCUAAUUUUGUUGUGCUUGUUAGUGUCCGGGUUACUGACAGCCUGCAGAUUCCUGUUACAAUUAGUCCUGGCAGCAGUGCCAGAUGUUUGUGAGAGAGGAGAGAGGGAGAUGUCAAACACCUGUCUGAUCACCACGGUGCACAUGCUGCUGCUGCUGCUGCUGCUGCUGCUGCUGCUGCAAGAGGCAACACUGCAACAACCACUCCUUGUUAGUUUAGUCUCCUCUUCAAGGUCCGCGCUGCGACUGCACAGCAGACACCUCGCUGACAAACACACCGCAGGUUUUAUUUUCAGGAUUAGAGGAAAUGCAAAAUGAGCAAAGACAAGAUCCUAACCGUGUCGGCUGGACUCAGGUCUGUUUUUUAGCUGCAGUUUUUGUCAGAGUGGUUCCUGUUAAAACCAGGAAAAGAACAAAUCAGUUUUUCUUUCUCUUAAAUUUCUUUGUGGUUUUAUUUGUGAUUUUUUCCCCAGAAGUU
Molecule: long non-coding RNA, 877 nt
Filed under: Xyrichtys novacula (pearly razorfish)
Lineage: Eukaryota; Metazoa; Chordata; Actinopteri; Labriformes; Labridae
Source: RNAcentral